UAGAGUUUGAUCAUGGCUCAGAUUGAACGCUGGCGGCAGGCCUAACACAUGCAAGUCGAGCGGCAGCACAGGGGAACUUGUUCCCUGGGUGGCGAGCGGCGGACGGGUGAGUAAUGGCUGGGAACCUGCCCUGAUGUGGGGGAUAACAGUUGGAAACGACUGCUAAUACCGCAUGAUGUCUACGGACCAAAGAGGAGGACCUUCGGGCUUCUCGCGUCAGGAUGGGCCCAGUUGGGAUUAGCUAGUUGGUAGGGUAAUGGCCUACCAAGGCGACGAUCCCUAGCUGGUUUGAGAGGAUGAUCAGCCACACUGGAACUGAGACACGGUCCAGACUCCUACGGGAGGCAGCAGUGGGGAAUAUUGCACAAUGGGCGCAAGCCUGAUGCAGCCAUGCCGCGUGUGUGAAGAAGGCCUUCGGGUUGUAAAGCACUUUCAGCAGUGAGGAAGGUUACGUAGUUAAUACCUGCGUGAUUUGACGUUAGCUGCAGAAGAAGCACCGGCUAACUCCGUGCCAGCAGCCGCGGUAAUACGGAGGGUGCGAGCGUUAAUCGGAAUUACUGGGCGUAAAGCGCAUGCAGGCGGUCUGUUAAGCAAGAUGUGAAAGCCCCGGGCUUAACCUGGGAACCGCAUUUUGAACUGGCAGGCUAGAGUCUUGU
Molecule: ribosomal RNA, 656 nt
Filed under: uncultured bacterium
Lineage: Bacteria
Description: bacterial SSU rRNA
Rfam family: Bacterial small subunit ribosomal RNA
Source: RNAcentral